GAUGAAUGCUGGCGGCGUGCCUAACACAUGCAAGUCGAGCGGCAGCGCGAGUAGUUUACUACUUGGCGGCGAGCGGCGGACGGCUGAGUAACGCGUGGGAAUAUGCCCCAAAGUGAGGAAUAACUGCCCGAAAGGGUAGCUAAUGCCGCAUAUGAUCUUCGGAUUAAAGGAUUUAUCCGCUUUGGGAGUAGCCUGCGUACGAUUAGGUAGUUGGUAGGGUAAUGGCCUACCAAGCCGACGAUCGUUAGCUUGUCUGAGAGGAUGACCAGCCAGAAUGGAACUGAGACACGGUCCAGACUCCUACGGGAGGCAGCAGUGAGGAAUCUUCCACAAUGGGCGAAAGCCUGAUGGAGCAACGCCGCGUGCAGGAUGAAGGCCUUCGGGUUGUAAACUGCUUUUAUAAGUGAAGAAUAUGACGGUAACUUAUGAAUAAGCACCGGCUAACUACGUGCCAGCAGCCGCCGUA
This 466-nucleotide ribosomal RNA is filed under the name uncultured bacterium. Its description in RNAcentral is "partial 16S ribosomal RNA". It matches the Rfam family "Bacterial small subunit ribosomal RNA", at positions 28 to 522 of the family's 1533-position model. The record is from RNAcentral.